Molecule: long non-coding RNA, 2141 nt
Filed under: Homo sapiens (human)
Lineage: Eukaryota; Metazoa; Chordata; Mammalia; Primates; Hominidae
Description: non-protein coding lnc-TEX29-5:1
Source: RNAcentral
AUCCAGAAGCCAUUUGAGAUGAAGAGAACAUUUACUAAUACAAAUGAAAAACAAUCACUUAGGCGGUUUCCCCCUUUGAUGCAUAAGAAAUCAUGAUGCGGUCUUUGCUUGUCUCUGUUCUCAUCCGGCAUUUUUAUAUUUGCUAGGCGCAAAUAAAGUACGAUUCCAAUGAAUAAAUAGAAGUGUUAACACUUCCUUACACUUUUACCUAAACCAGCUUGGAUGAGGAAAGGAAGUGUCUUUAGAAAUCUGUUCUGAGAAGUACUUUCACCUGAGGAAGCUGAUAAUUGAGAUGAGAGUUGUUUUCAUAAGCAGUUGAGCGUGCAUGGUGGUGAGGUAUGAGGAGUGGCGGUGAGAGUGUGGGUAUCGUGCGCGUCAGUGUGAGCAGCAGUGCCCGUUGGUGGGGUGUGAGUGAGCGUGAGGAUGGUGACACGCUCUUGCCUGGCAUUGUGCCUCUGUGUCUGGUCAAGGCCACAUUUGCCAAGGGAACUGGAGCAGACUUUUUCUACAUUCUUGCCGGCAGCCCUGGGGGUUUUAAGGCCCACAGGAAAGUACUGUAUGAGAAAUUAGGAUCUGUGCUUUUCAUUUUUUGUUCUGAGUCUUUGUUUUUAUGAUAUCUUUCAGGUAAUCAUGUGUGCAAGUCAGAAUUUCCAUUUUCUAUCAUGGGAAGUUACUUGAAGAAUGUUGCUGUUCCUUAUUGUAUACUUUAGUGUGCACAGUCUAAAGAAAAAGUGAGCUACUACAAGAACUGGUGGAGACUGAAUUACUAGGGAAGAAAAUUGGGAUAAAACUGUUGGGCAAAGAAGUAGAAAGGGCAACGGAAGGGGUAUUGAAGUGAAGAUAAACAAUUUUUUUUGAUAAGUCUGGCUGCAUUUGCUUUGCCAACUCCACACUGGGAGAGAAGGGCUCACACCGAGCAGCUGCCGUCCAGUGUUGCUGAGCACCGCCCAGCAGUAGCGUGGAGAGUGAUCUUGCAGGGUGUGAGAAGAGGACAUGGAGGCUCGUGGAGGCCGCUCUGCAGCCCGCUCUGCCUGGCUCUGGCUCAGGUGUGCUGUGUGCUCUGUGACCCUCUGCGCCUGCAGGUGCCCUCGGAGCACGUGAGGGGCGGGCGUUGGCUCUUCAAGGCUCUCCAUCUCAAUUUGCUUCGAAUUAGGGAAGCCAUGAGCACAUGUGUAUAAAUGUGUCUUCUGGAACAGAUUGCUGCUGCAUUUCUAAGAGCUUUCCAAUUUUUUAUAGAAAUACUUUUGUUUAACUUUUUGAAGGCUAUUUUAGAUUCAGAGUUUGUUACGUGGCUGUAUUGGGUGAUGCUGGGGUUUGGGCUUCUGGGGUACCUAUUACCCAAAUAGGAAACAUUGUACCCAAUGGGUAGCUUUUCAAAACUCACCCCCAUCACCUUCCGCCUUUUGGAGUCCCCAGGGUCUGUCAUUUCCAUGGUCAUGUCCAUGUGUACCCAUUGUUUAGCUCCCAAGAAAAGACUUUUAAAGAUAAUUUUAAAAACCAAGCUUUGUUUCCUCUGUUUCCAGCCUGGUUCAUUCCAUAGCACAUCUCAUCUUCUGAGUCUUGGUCUCGCGUUUAGCAUUCGUGAUGGUUUAUGUCGUUGGGGUGAUGCAGAAACCAGCCUUUUUUUGAUAUCGGUAUUUAACACGUGCUUGACAGUUGACACCUUACCUGCUCUGUUGGGACUUGCUUUGCUCACUUUGUUUUUUGCCGUCGUCUUCUGUGCUUGUUUGAAAAGCUGUUUGAAGAGGUAAGGGGUGGGCCAUUCCGUUGUGAACACUCUGAGCUGGUGUGCAUGUGGCCCCUGCACAGCAGCCCUGGCCGAGCUUGGCUGUGCUCCUGGCACUCAGAGUCAGGUAGCUGAGCACUCGCUCCCUUUUCUUCUCCCUGAAACUUCAAAUAUUUUCUUAAAGCAAUUAUUUUUUACUUAUCUGUCAUUUAAUGACAACCUUAGUUUCCUCCUCUCUUUCCAGUUAGCUGUGCCAGGGGAUAGGUCUGUCCUAGGGAGCAGCUGCCCCCUCCUCUCCUCCUCCCUCAGGAGCGUGCAGGAUGUCUGUGCACACCAGCGCCAGCCUGCCUCCUGGUGACACCUCUCAUCACAGGACUAACAGGACCCAAAUGACACGAGGGGUUUUAUUAGAAUU